Molecule: small nuclear RNA, 292 nt
Filed under: Oryctes borbonicus
Lineage: Eukaryota; Metazoa; Arthropoda; Insecta; Coleoptera; Scarabaeidae
Description: Arthropod 7SK RNA
Rfam family: Arthropod 7SK RNA
Source: Rfam by way of RNAcentral
GGAGGUGUGUGUCUGUGAUGGCACAACUGAACAUUGAUCGCUUUAGUCUGGAUCUAGGCAGAUCUGCUCAGUCGGUGGCGUCACGUGGUCGAUCCAGUAGCCAAGGACUUUCUACCGAUGCCGGGGGUCGGUUCCCCUCAGGUAUCUACUCGCUCGUCGCACGGUAGCCAUCCUGGCUCCUUGAACGUCCGCCAUAACCAAAUUCACUUGGGGGGUCACGGAUAGAUUACAAUAUUUAGAACACCUCCAUAAUACAGGCACUACGAAAGUACGUAGCCUGCCAUUUUUUUUG